UGCCAUUUUCGUUGCCAUACCCUCUUGCCU
Molecule: non-coding RNA, 30 nt
Filed under: Homo sapiens (human)
Lineage: Eukaryota; Metazoa; Chordata; Mammalia; Primates; Hominidae
Source: RNAcentral